CCCGCUGAACUUAAGCAUAUCAAUAAGCGGAGGAAAAGAAACUAACAAGGAUUCCCCUAGUAACGGCGAGUGAAGCGGGAUGAGCUCAAAUUUGAAAUCUGGCUAGUUUUUACUGGUCCGAGUUGUAAUUUAAAGAAACGUUUUCGGUGGCAGGCCGGGUAUAAAUCCUUUGGAACAGGGUAUCAUAGAGGGUGAGAAUCCCGUCUUUGACUCGGCACGGUUGCUACUAUGUGAUACGUUUUCAAAGAGUCGAGUUGUUUGGGAAUGCAGCUCAAAUUGGGUGGUAAAUUUCAUCUAAGGCUAAAUAUUGGCGAGAGACCGAUAGCGAACAAGUACCGUGAGGGAAAGAUGAAAAGAACUUUGAAAAGAGAGUUAAACAGUGCGUGAAAUUGUUGAAAGGGAAACGUUUGAUACCAGUCAUGCGAGUGAGAAAUCAGUCAAUUGUGGCAGGGGGUUGUCAGGGGUUUCAUGGACCGCAAGGCCAGCCUCUGCAGGAUCUCUGCUGCAAGUGAUGCACUUUUUCACGUUGCAGGUCAACAUCAGUUUCUCCUGCUGGACAAAACUCCAAGAGAAGGUAGCAGCUUUGGCUGUGUUAUAGCUCUGGAGCGAUACAGUGGGGGGGACUGAGGAUGUUUUUUGCAGCGUGUGCUCCUCUUUUGGGAGGGGCAAGGCUGACUGGGCGCUGUGGGAUUGUUCGGCGUACAAUGCAUGCAUUUUGCGCAGUGUCUUUUCCACACUCGCUCAACUCGGUUCUUCCACGCUUAGGAUGUUGACUUAAUGGUCUUAAACGACCCGUCUUGAAACACGG
Molecule: ribosomal RNA, 808 nt
Filed under: uncultured fungus
Lineage: Eukaryota; Fungi
Description: eukaryotic LSU rRNA
Rfam family: Eukaryotic large subunit ribosomal RNA
Source: RNAcentral